RNAcentral lists this long non-coding RNA (885 nucleotides) under Taeniopygia guttata (zebra finch). RNAcentral's name for it is "lncRNA (ENSTGUG00000023216.1)". Lineage: Eukaryota; Metazoa; Chordata; Aves; Passeriformes; Estrildidae. The record is from RNAcentral.
GUUUUCAGAGACUCCCUCUAAGCCCUCCGUGUACAAGAAGCGGAAUAUCUCCGCUACCGUUAGCGUUUAUGACUCCCCCGGCCUCCCUUCCCUCCCCUCAGCUCCUAUAAAGUGUUGGCUCUGGUUUGUGUAGAAAUCAGAAUUCCUGACCUGCAGGAACUCUAAGGAAUGAGCUCACCUUCUCCUGCAUGAGGAGUUUCUAGGCUGCAGCAAAAUGCAGAUGACUUGACAGUGGAAAUUCUUAUUGCCUCCAAAAGUAACAUUUUAUGAGCUACAGUUUUAUCAGUGCUGCGUGCUCUUACUUCAGCACAUUAUCCAUCUUAUGUGGAGCUGCAGGAUGACUACUACAAACAGCCAAAUAGGUGUUUAUAUUAUGCUGUCUUCGUAAAGUGAUAUUGUAACUAUCUUAUAAUGAGGUACUUCCCUAUUUCGAGUCUAAGCUAUCUGUAACUAAGGGACAUCUGUAUUUUUCUUUAUUUUCUCCUUUGCUUUUUAGUUAGUUUUUUUUGCUAGCUAAGGCAGAGAAGUUCCCCAAACUGUGGUUUUUCUUUUUCUUAGAACUGUUCAAACCUGCUCUCAACUAAAAACCCAGAAAACCACCAAAAUCUCACACCUGUAGCCCACCAGGCAGAGAUGCUGCAUUCCAGUGCUGGAGGGACUGAUAAUUGAGUGAGCCGAGCUGCACCUCACAAAAAUGACUUUCUACCUUUGUCAUGUCUUCAAAACGAGAAGAUAGGUUAGUUUUUGUUGUUCAUUUUUCAUGCUAGUAAAUACUUUACCUAUUAAAUAAACAGAUUUUUUCCACUUUUCUCCAAAGAAAUCUUUCCCAAAACCAAUUAAAAGAACUUAUAUUUGCUUUCUAAAAAAACCCCAACUCAAAAGUUU